AGUGAACGCUGGCGGUAUGCCUAACACAUGCAAGUCGAACGGCAACACAGUAAGAUCUUGCCCCUACCGUUGGCGAGUGGCGGACGGGUGAGGCGUACAUCGCAAUCUACUUUUUCGUGGGGGAUAACGUAGGGAAACUUACGCUAAUACCGCAUACGACCUACCGCUUAAAGCAAUGGAUCUUCGGACCUUUCGCGAUUGUAUGAGCCGAUUUCGGAUUAGCUAGUUGGCUAGGUAAAGGCUCACCAAGGCAACGAUGCGUAGCUGAGCUGAGAGGAUGAUCAGCCACACUGGAACUGAGACACGGUCCAGACUCCUACGGGAGGCAGCAGUAGGGAAUCUUGGGCAAUGGGCGAAAGCCUGACCGAGCCAUGCCGCGUGGGUGAUGAAGGCCUUCGGGUUGUAAAACUCUGUUAUUGGGGAAGAAAAAAAGCGGAAGAAUCCCCGGAUGUUCUGACGGUACCCAAAGAGUAAGCACCGGCUAACUUCGUG
This 492-nucleotide ribosomal RNA is filed under the name uncultured bacterium. RNAcentral's name for it is "partial 16S ribosomal RNA". It matches the Rfam family "Bacterial small subunit ribosomal RNA", at positions 29 to 507 of the family's 1533-position model. The record is from RNAcentral.